RNAcentral lists this long non-coding RNA (1334 nucleotides) under Helianthus annuus (common sunflower). RNAcentral describes it as "hypothetical non coding rna". Lineage: Eukaryota; Viridiplantae; Streptophyta; Magnoliopsida; Asterales; Asteraceae. The record is from RNAcentral.
AAAAUAGCAUAUAAAUCCACAAAAGUAGCUGGAGUCGAUGGACCUCUGAAAAAAGUGUGUAUUGUUCACAACCCGACUAAUCAAAAAUAUAGAGAGCGAAUCAAUAAAUUAUACUUACCCAAUAAGUGAUGUUGCAUAGCGUAACUGAAGCUGUUUGACAUCAUCUCAAUAAGACUGAAGCCUCUGAAAAAACAAGAAAAAUACAAUAAGCCAUAAGGACUUAUGUUGGUUUUAGAUAAAAUAAUAUAAGGGAACAGAAAGAAUAGACAUAUAGAUAUGUAUUUGUAUAACAACUUCACAUGUAUUAUAUAUUUCAAAAGAUCUAUAACAAGUUAUCAAUCAUUGAGAAUUUAACCCAACAGAAGGCCUUAUGUUAAUGACCCAACAAAAGCCCUUAUUUUAAUAACCUAUCAAUAUUAAAUAUGAAUAUUACUAGCAUUUUAGAGAAAUUAACAGUACUCAAAAAGCUCAUAGUGAGCAGGACAAAAUCUUCAUAAAUGGCCAAAAAAAGUAUUAUAUAUUACCUAUAUAAAUUCAUCUCUGAAUCAAACAUAAAGCUGGUAUAUUAAACUCAUAUCCUUCCAUCAAUGAAAUAUUAUAAACUGGUAACGAUCUGAACAAUUACCUGCAUUGAAAAACUAAGGCUAGAGCUCAAUACAAAAAGAUUUAACAUUACUGCAUAGUAGACGAGUCUAAGUUCUUGAGCCUGGCAUACAAUACGACAUCCACAACAACCUAUAUUAAACCUCAAGCUCACCAAUACGGAAAAAUACAACUAAAACCCUAGGUAACCAAUCAAAACACAAAUAUAGAAAAAAUAUGAGACUAACAAUAGGGAAACAGAGAGGGUUACGAUGAGACUUACAAUAAUCAUCACAGUCAAAGCCAUUUUCUUCCUCCAAAUAAAAAUAACGUUCUGAAAAAUCAAAUUUGUUGCCUGCUUGCGUAUUGGUUACUCAUUACCGUUGCUUGAAUGGAUUAAGAGUCGCUAGCGCCGAUGAUGGAGAGAAAAUCUUAAAUUAAAAUUUGCCAUAUCAACAAAAAACAAAAAUGGGGAAUGUGUGGGAAAUCAAGAAUUAUACCUUGGAAUGGGGAAGUAGCAAAACCCUAAUCAAGAAUUAUACCUUCGAGUGGUGAAGUAGCAAAACCCUAAUAUGUGGGCGGAUGGAGUGAUGGCUAUGUUUUUUGAUUUAGACCUGGAAUGGUGUACUGGAGUCUGGAGAUAUCUAGAGGUGAUUAAAACCCUAAUUAGUGGAGAGGUGUACAGGAGAUAUCAAGAGGUUAUGUGAAACAUGGAUAACAUAUGGCGCACCAGAGUGGCAAAUUUUUGGUGA